Callithrix jacchus (white-tufted-ear marmoset) is the source of this 107-nucleotide small nuclear RNA. The record is from Ensembl. NCBI's taxonomy places the organism in Eukaryota, Metazoa, Chordata, Mammalia, Primates, Cebidae.
GUACUUGUUUCAGCAGCACAUAUUUUAAAAUUGGAUCAAUACAGAGAAGAUGAGCAUGGCUGCUGCUCAGGGAUGGCACACAAAUUCAUGAAGCAUUCCACAUUUUG